Sapajus apella (tufted capuchin) is the source of this 1055-nucleotide long non-coding RNA. RefSeq lists it as uncharacterized. Lineage: Eukaryota; Metazoa; Chordata; Mammalia; Primates; Cebidae. The record is from RefSeq and is a predicted model, not a curated record. The transcript is spliced from 2 exons.
CUUUUUCACCUAGUCUUUUUUUUUUUUUUUUUACAUAGCUGCUUACUUCCAGAUCACCAGUCUUUUUUAGGGAAAGCAACUAACAACAUAUUUCUUGUGAACUAGAGGGUUGAAGUUGAAUUUUCUUCGUUUCUGCUGAGACCCCUAAGGCAUCGUCCCUGGACCAGCAGCAGCCUGGAUGCAACACCAGGCGGUCCCAAGUGAGCUCAGGCUUCUGCUGGGAACACGGUCUAUAAAGGAUGAUCUAUAAAGGAGCUGGAAGUUCGAGGAUAAUUUUUAGAGGCCACCGAGAGACUAUGAAUCUUACCACCCACAGAGGAAGGCGGUGGGGUUUCUGCUUCACCUCCAGUCUACAGAAGAGAGGCGGGGCAUGCCUGUGAAAGCUCAUAAAAACGCACCCCCCAGGCUCGGGAGCCAGAAGCCUGCUCACAGCAGUAUCUGUGAAUGAUGAACUUCCGCUCCCCACCUCACCCUCCCCAGCAACUUGGGCAAAACAGGUGACAGCACCAAGUGGCAAAUAAAACCAAGGCCAAACACAAGCUGCUCUCCCCUUGAAGAGAGCGAGGUUCCGUGCGGGCCCACGGUGGAAGGGGUGGCCUCUCUCUCCAAAUGGGGCUCAGAGUUGUUCCUGUGGUGGACAAGGGGCUUCAUCUGCCCAGGGCAGGGCUUGCCCCACAUCUCACCUAGGGAUGGGGUAGAACACGCCCUGAACAGUAAAGUUAGACAGUAGGAGACCAAAAUCAAGGUGCUUUUGUUGGAUUAAGCUUGUUUGCCACAGCAGCAGGACCAGCAUUUUGAACACGUUCUGUUAACUGUGUUGUCAUCUCAACUGAACACAUAAUUGAUCAGUGUAAGUUCACGCACACUGGGGUGUGCUUACUAAUUUGAUGGAUUUGGUGACUUAGUGAUUUCUACCUGCUGUGACGAUGGAAUCUGAGACCUCCAUUUUUCAUUUUUUCUUUUUCUGGAAUUUGGUAUGGAAAGAUGGCUUUUAGGAUUCUCAAUGAAAAAUGUGCCAACAUGCAGUGUCUCAGCGCCAAAAACAUAUGGAAGGC